Molecule: ribosomal RNA, 235 nt
Filed under: uncultured bacterium
Lineage: Bacteria
Description: partial 16S ribosomal RNA
Rfam family: Bacterial small subunit ribosomal RNA
Source: RNAcentral
CUGUGAAGCGGAGCAAAUCUCAAAAACCGGUCCCAGUUCGGAUUGUAGGCUGCAACUCGCCUACAUGAAGUCGGAGUUGCUAGUAAUCGCGGAUCAGAAUGCCGCGGUGAAUGCGUUCCCGGGUCUUGUACACACCGCCCGUCACACCAUGGAAGUUGGGGGCGCCCGAAGUUGCCUAAGAAAUAAGGUACCUAAGGCGAAACCAAUGACUGGGGUGAAGUCGUAACAAGGUACC